This is a long non-coding RNA of Tupaia belangeri chinensis (Chinese tree shrew), 567 nucleotides long. RefSeq lists it as uncharacterized. The transcript has 3 exons. The record is from RefSeq and is a predicted model, not a curated record. Lineage: Eukaryota; Metazoa; Chordata; Mammalia; Scandentia; Tupaiidae.
ACACGUGUAAGUAGAGACAUGAUGUCACAAAAGGGAAUAAACACGCCAACAACUUGAAAGAGUCUGAAGCACUUCAAUCCACUUUUCCUAUCAUGGGAUUCACUUGCAAGGUCUGAAUUUCGACUCAGCUGAGUAGCACCCCUUUUGGAAAGCUACCCCUCAGCGACUCCUCACCACCUGCAGGGUUCACUGCUUCUCCUACGAUGCUCCCAAGACCCACGAUGUACUACUAAGGACGAAUUACCUCACAGUGCUGGGAUCCUCUCUCUCAUUCCUACCCAUGAAAAUGUCAAGUCUCUGAGAGCAAAAUGUUUGUUCAUCUUUGUAUUCCCAAUGCUUAGCACCGUAUUGUAAAAAACACCCAGGAUAUGCUCAGUUUUACAAAGGUUAAUAAAGUCUCGAGGGAAAUCUCAAGCUAAACACCUCAAUGUCCAGAUGGUAGCAGCUGAUAAACUGGCUCAGUGUCCUCCGGGUAGUUGUGACUUAAUACAGAGACCUCUCAGGAAACGACAGCCGCGCCUUGUUUUACCCAAUUCUGCCUGCAGGGGACGCUGUGGACGGAGGCCU